Non-coding RNA from Pelobates cultripes (western spadefoot toad), 388 nucleotides. Lineage: Eukaryota; Metazoa; Chordata; Amphibia; Anura; Pelobatidae. The record is from the annotation of a GenBank genome assembly.
GAGGAGGUAGCCAACACUGUUUUUAAUAUAUAUAUAUAUAUAUAUAUAUAUAUAUAUUUUUUUUUUAUUGUGGUAGCCCCCAAAAUAUUGGGACAUAUAAAAAAAAGACAACUCUGUUCCGCAGAGUAGCUGUUGAUAUAAUAGUUGCGCAGGCACUUUGUUGACUCUAGAGAACCUCGGGCCAAUUGCACAUCCCCGUGACAGCGACUUUGCAUUCGGAUGUAAUCCUUAUCAACUUUCGAUGCCAGUUUCUGCGCCUACCAUGGUGACCACAGGUAAUGGGGAAUCAGGGUUCCAUUCCGUAGAGGGACCCUGAGAAAUGGCUACCACAUGCAAGGAAGGCAGCAGGCGCGCAAAUGACCCACUCCCGACGCGGGAAGGUAGUGAC